RNAcentral lists this ribosomal RNA (553 nucleotides) under methanogenic archaeon CH95. Its description in RNAcentral is "bacterial SSU rRNA". It matches the Rfam family "Archaeal small subunit ribosomal RNA", at positions 1 to 563 of the family's 1478-position model. The record is from RNAcentral. Lineage: Archaea; Methanobacteriati; Methanobacteriota; Methanomicrobia; Methanomicrobiales.
UUCCGGUUGAUCCUGCCGGAGGCUAUUGCUAUCAGGGUUUGACUAAGCCAUGCGAGUCGAGAGGUGUAAGACCUCGGCAUACUGCUCAGUAACACGUGGAUAAUCUGCCCUCAGGUGAGGAAUAAUCCCGGGAAACUGGGGCUAAUGCCUCAUAGGAGACGGGUGCUGGAAUGCUCUGUCUCCCAAAGGUCCGCCGCCUGAGGAUGAGUCUGCGUCCGAUUAGGUAGUUGUUGGGGUAACGGCCCAACAAGCCUUUGAUCGGUACGGGUUGUGGGAGCAAGAGCCCGGAGAUGGAUUCUGAGACAUGAAUCCAGGCCCUACGGGGCGCAGCAGGCGCGAAAACUUUACAAUGCGAGCAAUCGUGAUAAGGAAACCCUGAGUGCCUGUCAAUGCAGGCUGUUCUGGUGUCUAACACACACCAGAAGAAAGGGCGGGGCAAGACCGGUGCCAGCCGCCGCGGUAAUACCGGCUGCUCGAGUGAUAGCCGCUUUUACUGGGCUUAAAGCGUUCGUAGCUUGGUCGUUAAGUCUCUGGGGAAAUCUUUUGGCUCAAC